This 314-nucleotide transfer-messenger RNA is filed under the name Rickettsiaceae bacterium. It matches the Rfam family "Alphaproteobacteria transfer-messenger RNA". Rfam says of the family: Bacterial tmRNA, also known as 10Sa RNA or SsrA, is named for its dual tRNA and mRNA-like properties. Lineage: Bacteria; Pseudomonadati; Pseudomonadota; Alphaproteobacteria; Rickettsiales; Rickettsiaceae. The record is from RNAcentral.
CUAUUUGCAUUUUGGUAAAAACUGGAUUAUAAUAUAAUUGCUUUCUAGCUAUAGUAAUAAACGUUAUUUGGAAUAGGAGAGCCGGACCCGGGGGCGGUACCCGGCGCCUCCACCAUUUUUAUGGGGGCGAAUUAGCAUCGACGGGCUCAAUAAAGGAAUAAUUUUUACUCAGUAUGAUUCCGCUGAAAACUUAAUUUUAAGUUUUUGGGUCAAAAAAGUAAAUGCAAACGAUAAUCAUCGUAUGGCAGCAGUUGCGUAAGCAACUUAGCUGACAGGGCUUUUAGAGUGUGCCUCGUAACAGAAACACUCUAACU